This 440-nucleotide ribosomal RNA is filed under the name uncultured bacterium. RNAcentral describes it as "partial 16S ribosomal RNA". It matches the Rfam family "Bacterial small subunit ribosomal RNA", at positions 338 to 795 of the family's 1533-position model. The record is from RNAcentral.
CCUACGGGUGGCAGCAGUGGGGAAUAUUGCACAAUGGGCGAAACCCUGAUCCAGCGACGCCGCGUGAGUGAUGAAGGAUUUCGGUUCGUAAAGCUCUGUCAGCAGGGAAGAAAAUGACGGUACCUGACUAGGAAGCCCCGGCUAACUACGUGCCAGCAGCCGCGGUAAUACGUAGGGGGCAAGCGUUAUCCGGAAUUACUGGGGGUAAAGGGUGCGUAGGUGGGUGCGCAAGUCCGGAGGGAAAGGCCGGGGCUCAACCCCGGAAAGGCUUUGGAAACUGGGAAACUGGAGUGCAGGAGAGGAAAGUGGAAUACCUGGUGUAGCGGUGAAAUGCGUAGAUAUCAGGAGGAACACCAGCGGCGAAGGCGGCUGACUGGACUGUAACUGACGCUGAGGCACGAAGGCGUGGGGAGCAAACAGGAUUAGAUACCCGAGUAGUC